RNAcentral lists this ribosomal RNA (412 nucleotides) under Vibrio parahaemolyticus. RNAcentral describes it as "partial 23S ribosomal RNA". It matches the Rfam family "Bacterial large subunit ribosomal RNA", at positions 71 to 538 of the family's 2925-position model. Lineage: Bacteria; Pseudomonadati; Pseudomonadota; Gammaproteobacteria; Vibrionales; Vibrionaceae. The record is from RNAcentral.
CCCAGAUUAGGUAGUAACAACCAUUUGAGUCUGGGAUUUCUGAAUGGGGAAACCCACUUACAUAAGUAAGUAUCCUUACCUGAAUACAUAGGGUAAGGAGGCGAACCGGGGGAACUGAAACAUCUAAGUACCCCGAGGAAAAGAAAUCAACCGAGAUUCCGAAAGUAGCGGCGAGCGAAAUUGGACUAGCCCUUAAGCUUUACACGCGUUAGACGAACGGUCUGGAAAGUCCGACGAUACAGGGUGAUAGUCCCGUAGUUGACGACGUGUGUUCAGUGAAAUCGAGUAGGGCGGGACACGUGAUAUCCUGUCUGAAUAUGGGGGGACCAUCCUCCAAGGCUAAAUACUACUGACUGACCGAUAGUGAACCAGUACCGUGAGGGAAAGGCGAAAAGAACCCCUGUGAGGGGAG